GAUGAACGCUGGCGGCGUGCCUAAUACAUGCAAGUCGAGCGAACAGACGAGGAGCUUGCUCCUCUGACGUUAGCGGCGGACGGGUGAGUAACACGUGGAUAACCUACCUAUAAGACUGGGAUAACUUCGGGAAACCGGAGCUAAUACCGGAUAAUAUAUUGAACCGCAUGGUUCAUUAGUGAAAGACGGUUUUGCUGUCACUUAUAGAUGGAUCCGCGCCGCAUUAGCUAGUUGGUAAGGUAACGGCUUACCAAGGCAACGAUGCGUAGCCGACCUGAGAGGGUGAUCGGCGACACUGGAACUGAGACACGGUCCAGAGUCCUACGGGAGGCAGCAGUAGGGAAUCUUCCGCAAUGGGCGAAAGCCUGACGGAGCAACGCCGCGUGAGUGAUGAAGGUCUUCGGAUCGUAAAACUCUGUUAUUAGGGAAGAACAAAUGUGUAAGUAACUAUGCACGUCUUGACGGUACCUAAUCAGAAAGCCACGGCUAACUACGUG
RNAcentral lists this ribosomal RNA (497 nucleotides) under uncultured bacterium. Its description in RNAcentral is "partial 16S ribosomal RNA". It matches the Rfam family "Bacterial small subunit ribosomal RNA", at positions 28 to 507 of the family's 1533-position model. The record is from RNAcentral.